UACGAAGGGGGCUAGCGUUGCUCGGAAUCACUGGGCGUAAAGCGCACGUAGGCGGAUUGUUAAGUCAGGGGUGAAAUCCUGGAGCUCAACUCCAGAACUGCCUUUGAUACUGAGGAUCUUGAGUUCGGGGGAGGUGAGUGGAACUGCGAGUGUAGAGGUGAAAUUCGUAGAUAUUCGCAAGAACACCAGUGGCGAAGGCGGCUCACUGGCCCGAUACUGACGCUGAGGCACGAAAGCGUGGGGAGCAAACAGG
RNAcentral lists this ribosomal RNA (253 nucleotides) under uncultured bacterium. RNAcentral describes it as "partial 16S ribosomal RNA". It matches the Rfam family "Bacterial small subunit ribosomal RNA", at positions 524 to 776 of the family's 1533-position model. The record is from RNAcentral.